This 1404-nucleotide long non-coding RNA is filed under the name Apteryx owenii (little spotted kiwi). RNAcentral's name for it is "lncRNA (ENSAOWG00000004758.1)". The record is from RNAcentral. Lineage: Eukaryota; Metazoa; Chordata; Aves; Apterygiformes; Apterygidae.
GGUGCAAGGCACGGAGGUGCGCACACGGUGGUGCACAUGGCACGGUGGUGCACGGCACUGCACAGUGCAUGGCGGUGCACAGGAUGAUGGUGCACAUGGCACGGCGGUGCAAGUCACGGAGGUGCACACGGCACGGCGGUGCACGGCGCUGCACAGUGCAUGGUGGUGCAAGGCACGGAGGUGCACACACGGUGGUGCACGGCGCUGCACAUGGCACGGCGGUGCACGGCACUGCACAGUGCAUGGAGGUGCACAUGGCACGGUGGUGCAAGGCACGGCGGUGCACGGUGCUGCACAGUGCAUGGUGGUGCAAGGCACAGAGGUGCACACACGGCAGUGCACAGCACGGUGGUGCACAUGGCACGGUGGUGCAAGGCACGGAGGUGCACAUGGCACGGUGGUGCACACACGGUGGUGCACAGCAUGGUGGUGCACAUGGCACGGUGGUGCACAGCACGGUGGUGCAAGGCACGGAGGUGCGCACACGGUGGUGCACAUGGCACGGUGGUGCACGGCGCUGCACAGUGCAUGGUGGUGCAAGGCACGGAGGUGCGCACACGGUGGUGCACAGCACGGUGGUGCACAUGGCACGGCGGUGCCCGGAGCGGUGCUGGUGCCUGGCGUGGUGCUGGUGUCCAGUUUGCUGGUGAUGGUGCCACUGCCUGGCACGGUGAUUUCCAGUACGGUGAUGCCCGCUGCACCCGCGGUGCCACGGCCCGGCACGGCGAUGCCCGGUGCAUCGGUGGUACCCAGCACGGUGGUGUCCCUGCCCGGUUCAGCGUCGCGGCGCGCCGGUGCCCGUCACCACAGCGGUGCCCCAGCCCGGCACGGUGACACCCAACACCCCUAGUGCCCGAGACGGUGAUAUCCAGCACGCUGAUGCUGGGCACGGAGUUGCCCGGUGCAACGGUGGUGCGUUGGCAGUUCCCGGCACGGCGGUGCCCAGCGCAUCGGCGGUACCCGGUGCAUCAGCGAUGCCCGGUGCGUCGGCGGUACCCGGUGCAUCGGUGGUGCCUGGCACAGGGAUUUCCAGCACGGUAGUGCCCAGUGCAUCGGUGGUACCUGGUGCAUCGGUGGUACCCGGCGCAUCGGUGGUGCCAGGCACGGUGAUUUCCAGCACGGUGGUACCUGGUGCAUCGGUGGUACCUGGUGCAUCGGCAGUACCCAGUGCAUCGGUGGUACGUGGUGCCUUGGCGGUACCCGGUGCAUCGGUGGUGCCAGGCACGGUGAUUUCCAGCACGGUGAUGCCCAGUGCAUCRGUGGUACCCAGUGCAUCGGCGGUGCCAGGCACGGUGGUACCCAGUGCAUUGGUGGUGCCGGGCACGGUGACGCCCGCUGCAUCGGCGGUACCCGCUGCACUGGGCAUCGGCGGUGCCCGCUGCCCGCGACGGUGGUUCCUGGCCC